This 253-nucleotide ribosomal RNA is filed under the name uncultured bacterium. RNAcentral's name for it is "partial 16S ribosomal RNA". It matches the Rfam family "Bacterial small subunit ribosomal RNA", at positions 524 to 776 of the family's 1533-position model. The record is from RNAcentral.
UACAGAGGUCUCAAGCGUUGUUCGGAUUCAUUGGGCGUAAAGGGUGCGUAGGUGGCGCCAUAAGUCGGGUGUGAAAUUUCGGAGCUUAACUCCGAAACUGCAUUCGAUACUGUGGUGCUUGAGGACUGGAGAGGAGACUGGAAUUCACGGUGUAGCAGUGAAAUGCGUAGAGAUCGUGAGGAAGACCAACGGCGAAAGCAGGCCUCUGGAAAUUUCCUGACACUGAGGCUCGAAGGCCAGGGGAGCAAACGGG